GAUGAACGCUGGCGGCGUGCUUAACACAUGCAAGUCGAACGAUGAAGCCCAGCUUGCUGGGUGGAUUAGUGGCGAACGGGUGAGUAACACGUGAGUAACCUGCCCUUGACUCUGGGAUAAGCCUGGGAAACUGGGUCUAAUACUGGAUAUGACUUCUCACCGCAUGGUGGGGGGUGGAAAGAUUUAUUGGUCUUGGAUGGACUCGCGGCCUAUCAGCUUGUUGGUGAGGUAAUGGCUCACCAAGGCGACGACGGGUAGCCGGCCUGAGAGGGUGACCGGCCACACUGGGACUGAGACACGGCCCAGACUCCUACGGGAGGCAGCAGUGGGGAAUAUUGCACAAUGGGCGCAAGCCUGAUGCAGCGACGCCGCGUGAGGGAUGACGGCCUUCGGGUUGUAAACCUCUUUCAGUAGGGAAGAAAGCGAAAGUGACGGUACCUGC
Molecule: ribosomal RNA, 442 nt
Filed under: Micrococcus sp. oral taxon B64
Lineage: Bacteria; Bacillati; Actinomycetota; Actinomycetes; Micrococcales; Micrococcaceae
Description: bacterial SSU rRNA
Rfam family: Bacterial small subunit ribosomal RNA
Source: RNAcentral